Spinacia oleracea (spinach) is the source of this 956-nucleotide long non-coding RNA. RefSeq lists it as uncharacterized. The record is from RefSeq and is a predicted model, not a curated record. NCBI's taxonomy places the organism in Eukaryota, Viridiplantae, Streptophyta, Magnoliopsida, Caryophyllales, Amaranthaceae. The transcript has 4 exons.
GAACCUUAUUAUAUUUAUAUAUUAAAUGUAUAUUUAAUUUUAUUUAAAUAUAUUCUAAAUAUUUUAAUGGUUUGUGCAAUCAAAAAUAAUGUUUGAAUUUUAAGUUGAAAAGAAUUCGAAUUACGAAAAUCGAUUGAAUUUAGAAAACGAUCCUAUUCGGUUUUAGAUUCAAAUCCUAAAAUAAUAUCCUAAGUCUAGCCCAAAUAGGUAAAGCCCAAUAGUAUAAACCAAUAAACCCCAUACUCCCUUCCUCCUCAACUUCACGUGAAAACAAAAACCAAAAACCCUCCCCUCAUCUUCUUCCCUUGCUUCACGUGAACCCUCAACCCUCAAGCCUUGCUGUCGUCCUCGCCGCCGCCACCACCGCCGGCGUUUCCCCUCCGUCGUCCGCCUGUUCCGUCGAGCACACAACCACCACCACCGGGUCGCUGCUGGUGCGCCACUCCUUGUCGCGCCGCCUUGCUGCACGUACGUCAACCACCACUGCCGCCCUACCGGCCAUCGCUCUUCCUCUCCUCUUUUCUUGGAUUCCCAUUCGCGCACCACCACUACAAACACGAGCAUCCACCGUUGCUGCCACCGCCGGCCACCUUGCGUCAGCCGACUAUCUGCCUUGCUGCCGCCGUCCCUGACCGCCGGCCAGCCUCCCUGUAUUCUCUCUUUUCGGCGGAGAAUUCUUUGUAGGCGACUUUUGAAUUCGUUAAAGUAACUUAUCAGUUUGUUUACACAAGUCUCUAAGGAUCAAUAAGCAUUGUCCAUUUGCAGGUUUGAAGAUGUUGCAUCAUUGGGAUCGGGAAUAGAGAGCUUGUAUUUAGUUUUGAUUUGCUAAGUUAACUUGGGUUUGUUAAUUGGGACUUUAAACUUGUCGUACUAUUUAUAUUUCCUUAUUUUCGUUGGAUGAUUUUUGGGAUUAAACCUGUAAUCGAUUAUUUAUAAACCUAAAGUUAGUUUUAUGU